This 1359-nucleotide long non-coding RNA is filed under the name Capsicum annuum. RNAcentral describes it as "long non-coding RNA (CANN_LNC022037)". The record is from RNAcentral. Lineage: Eukaryota; Viridiplantae; Streptophyta; Magnoliopsida; Solanales; Solanaceae.
CACCAAUCAUUUAAUAUACAAUCAACCACCAUAAGAAUACAAACAUUAAAAAUCAAAUUAUUUACAAAAUUUAUCGAGGUUCCAAAUCCAAACUACAAAACAUACAAAAGACUAAAAAUUACAACUCAUCAUCCGCAUCCUCAUUCUUAGCCUCACCCAUUCUAUUAUCAAUAUUUCGUUGAUAUAUCCGGCUAUAAUCAAGUUCCAUCUACACAAUCAAUCACAUUCAAGUAAUUAGUUAAGUCAAAAAAAUUCACAUUUCAAGUACCUACACUUAAACAUUUUCAAGUCACUAAUUCACUUCUCAAGUGACCACACUUUACUAAAAUGAAAACACAAGUUCACAUUUCAAGUUCCUAAAUUCAAAAUGAAAAGUUCACAUUUCAAAUACCUACACCUAAACAUUUUCAAGUCACUAAUUCACUUCACAAGUCACCAAACUAAACUUAAUUCAAAAUGAAAAGUUCACAUUUCAAGUACCUACACCUAAACAUUUUCAAGUCACUAAUUCACUUCACAAGUCACCAAACUAAACUUAAUUCAAAAUGAAAAAUUCACAUUUCAAGUACCUACACUUAAACAUUUCAAGUCACUAAUUCACUUCACAAGUCACCAAACUGAACUAAAUUCAAAAUGAAAAAUUCACAUUUCAAGUACCUACAUCUAAACAUUUCAAGUCACUAAUUCACUUCACAAGUUACCAAACUGAACUAAAUUCAAAAUGAAAAGUUCACAUUUCAAGUACCUACACUUUAAACAUUUUCAAGUCACUAACUCACUUCUAAAGUGACCACACUUAACUAUAUUCAAAACAGAAGUCCACCUUUCAAGUAACUACACUUAAAAAUUUUCGACUCACUAAUGCACUUCUCAAAUGACCACACUAAACUAAAUUCAAAACACAAGUCCACAUUUCAAGUACCUGCACAUAAACAUUUUCAAGUCAUUUAUUCACUUCUCGAGACCACACUUAACUAAAUUCAAAACACAAAUCCACAUUUCAAGUACCUACACUUAAAUAUUUUCAAGUCAUUAACUCACAUCUCAAGAGACCACACUUAACUAAAUUCAAAACACAAGUCCACAAUCAAGUACCUACACUUAAACAUUUUCAAGUCACUAACGCACUUCUCAAGAGAUCACAGUUAACUAAAUUUAAAACACAAAUCCACAUUUCAAGUACCUACACUUAAAUAUUUUUGACUCACUAACUCAAUUCUCUAGUGACCACACUUAACUAUAUUCAAAACACAAGUCCACCUUUCAAGUAACUACACUUAAACAUUUUUGACUCACUAAUUCACUUCUCAAAUGACCACACUUGACUAAAUUCAAAACACAAGUCCAUGUUUCAAAUAC